RNAcentral lists this long non-coding RNA (2550 nucleotides) under Homo sapiens (human). Its description in RNAcentral is "HSALNT0295561". The record is from RNAcentral. Lineage: Eukaryota; Metazoa; Chordata; Mammalia; Primates; Hominidae.
UUAUGGGCAUAGACCCUGCCUAGCACUGGAGAGGUAAAAUCCCUGGAUACCUGUUCUAAAAGGCUCAAAGUGUCACCUCUGCGUCACCUGCACUGGAGUCACCACUUGCCUGUUGGGUAAGACCAGGAUGCACCGCUGAAAUAAAAAGGGGUCAGACAAUACAAGAAAAGCCAGUAGAAAUUGCCAAAUGUAUCAGAAUACACACAGGCUUUCUAAGGAUAUGGCCCAAGAGGAAGGCUCUAGAGCCCACCCUGAAACAGGAUUUUUGACUUCACAGAGAAAUUAUUUAAUUUUCAAUAACACAAUUCAAUUAAAGAAAGGGAAAUACAAGGCUAAACAAAUAAGAAAUGAAGACAAAAACCCAACCUUUCAAAUCUAAAGAAAAUAAUCUGUUUUAAAGACACAGAUGAAGAUCAGGAACCCAAAACAGAAGAAAGGAAAAGCAAUUAACGCUGGCAUCUGAUAACAACGAAAAGUAUGGAGUCUGGAGAAUCGCUAGACUCUAAAAAUUAUAAAGGUUUAGACUUGGACUUUGUACACUGAAGAAAAGAAAACUGCAUGCAUUUAUACUGACCAAUGUACACUAUUGCUGCUUUUUAACUUUUGUGUAUAUGUAGGGUAGAUUUUUUUUAAGUGAAAGCAAGCUUAUUAAGAAAGUAAAAGAAUAAAAAGGUGGCUUCUCCAUAGGCAGAAAACUAGCGUAGUUUUUUUAUUAGAAAUUGUUAUUCAAUAAUAGUACAUGUUACAAAUAAAUACCAUUUUAAACUGAAAAAAUUGUAGACUUUCAAAUCAGUUAGGGUGGUCACCCUAAAAAAGGGCAUUUUUUUCCCGUUAGUCUCCUUGUUCAUGUUGCUCACAACAAGAAAUGGGCUCAUGCUAUGAAUAAUAAUAACAAACACUGCCUUCUGUCAGGCCCUGUGCUGAAUACCGUCUGCAUAUGUAUAGGAAAGGGUUAACUCAGCAGGUCUUGUUUGCCCAGACUCUGUACAUUUCCAAGAAAGGUCUGCCUUUAGGACUGGUCCUUGGCCAGCUCCUGGAGAAUGAGCUCUCAGCUUUUAGAAAAUUCUAUCUGCUAAGAAUAGUUUUGCAUGUCUCAGGUCUUGGGCCACAAAAUAUCAGUUUAAUCAGAUGGUUUAUGUUAACAAGUAUGAUUUAUGGCAAACAUAGAUCUCUAAUCUCCAUUUCUCUCUCAUAUAUCUAUAUUUAUCUAUCCAUAUUAUAUGUACCUAUAUAUAUCAAAUAUGAAGAUAUGUUUAUAGCAAUUGCAUAUACAUAGAGAGAUAGUAUGUAGUAUGAAGAGAGACAUAGAUAUUAUUCUUCAUUUUAGAAUGUUAUCUUGGUAUGUUUAAAAGGAAAAACUUAAGAUGUGUUGCAAUUGCAGUAUGAGUUUCAGGUAUGUACAUGUUAUGUGUGUGUGUGAGAGACACACACAAACACAUUUCAAACAUGUUUUAUGUUUAAGCUCAAUAUUCAAACACAGAAAUAUAACAUCUAUUCUUAAUAUGUUUUAUGUAAGUACAGCAGCAGCAUUAUUAAAUACUGUAUUUCUAUGGUGAUUGAAAAUUAGUAGGCAGAGAAUUUUUGUAAUGGCUCUUAAUAAUUUUUGUAAUAGUAAAUGAUUACUUUUUGUUUAGUAUAGUUUUAUAAUCUAUACAUGAAUAAAGUGGAUAUUUCUAUUCAUAUAGAAAUGUGAUUUACUCUCAUGUACUUAUCUACAUGCUAAAACCAUAAGUUAUCAAUUUUAGUUCUGUGCCAAGGCACUUUUACUGAAUAAAAAUAAUCAGCUAAUUUUAUAUUUUCCUGAUUCAAAUUUAUAUGCCCGUGUAAUGUUCCGGGGUUUUUUUUUUUUUAAUUUCUGUAAAUCAGAAUAUUCAGAUGUUGAAAAAGUCUUUGCCUUCAGAUUUAAAAGAUACCUUUGAAAUGUAGCAUAUCCCAAAAUGCAACCCAGAGGCUGGCAAUGUCAACAUUUUUCUGUUUUAAAAAACCUCUUAUGAAAACUAUUGCCAUACUAAAUUUUUUACUUGCUGAUGACUUACAGCUGGAAAGGAUUCUGUACAUAUAAGACAUCAAAUAUUGAGGAUACUGGAACUUUUAAAUUAAUGGCAAAGAAAGUCAACAAAGGAAGUUCAUAUGAAAUCAAACUAGUAAUAUGAUUACAAAAAAAAAAAGUUUAAAAUUUUUCUUGGCCCCAGUCUUAUCAUUUCUGAGCCAAAUACAAUUCUAUCGAAAUCACCUGAAACUGAAAUCACCAUUCUAGGCUGGUUUUCCCAUAAAGAUGGACUGCUCCAAAAAGAGGAAUCAAGAAAGAAUUUGGCUCACAGUGAAUUAUUCACUUUGUCUUAGUUAAGCAAAAAUAAAAUCUGACUGUUAACUACAGAAAUCAUUUCAAAUUCUGUGGUGAUAAUAAAGUAAUGACCGCUUUUCAGCUGGAGGGACUAACUUUUUUUUUUUUUUUGCUGCAUAUAUAGCUGUGGUACAUUUUAAUGUGAAAUGAUGACUGCAUCAGCUUAUAUCCAUGGAGCAGAUUUUAGCAUUCAGCUUGGGUCUCCC